AUGUGCAGCUAUUAAUUGUUCAAAUCAUUCACGGAAAGGUCAUACAUUGGUAAAAUUUCCUAAAAAUGAAGAAAGAAGAAAAAUAUGGGUAAAUAAUUGCCGAAGAGACAAUUGGAAACCUGGUCCAAGCGCUGAAAUUUGCUUACUAAGUAUAAUGUUAAUUACGCCUUGAUUUAGAGUUUAUAUCUUCUCUGAUGUUUAUAAUGUGAUCAUUUUGAGGAAUCUCAAUUUGAGUCACUAUGCAAAGAUAGUUAAAAAACUAAGAAAAACUGCAGUACCAACACUCUUUAGCAUUCCAAAUCCACCACCAUCUGUAACUGACAAGAGGAUAAGAGAAGUAAGAUGUCCUAAGCCAAAUACUGAAGUGGAAACUCUACCUGCUUCAAAUGAAGAGUUGUUAAAAAAAA
Molecule: long non-coding RNA, 407 nt
Organism: Stegodyphus dumicola
Lineage: Eukaryota; Metazoa; Arthropoda; Arachnida; Araneae; Eresidae
Source: RefSeq, a predicted model, not a curated record